UGGCCUGUCGUCUAGUGGUAGGACCGGUGGUUUUGAGCCAUCAGACUGAGGUUCGAAUCCUUGCGGGCCAG
Molecule: transfer RNA, 71 nt
Filed under: Candidatus Saccharimonadota bacterium
Lineage: Bacteria; Candidatus Saccharimonadota
Description: tRNA-Gln
Rfam family: tRNA
About the family: Transfer RNA (tRNA) molecules are approximately 80 nucleotides in length. Their secondary structure includes four short double-helical elements and three loops (D, anti-codon, and T loops).
Source: RNAcentral